GCUGGGUGUGGUGGCGCAUGCCUGUAAUCCCAGCUACUCAGGAGGCUGAGGCAGGAGAAUUGCUUAAACCUAGGAGACAGAGGUUGCAGUGAGCCAAGAUCACGCCACUGCACUCCAGCCUGGGUGACAGAGCAAGACUCUGUCUCAA
This is an unclassified non-coding RNA of Pongo abelii (Sumatran orangutan), 148 nucleotides long. It matches the Rfam family "Metazoan signal recognition particle RNA". Rfam says of the family: The signal recognition particle (SRP) is a universally conserved ribonucleoprotein. Lineage: Eukaryota; Metazoa; Chordata; Mammalia; Primates; Hominidae. The record is from Ensembl.